Solea solea (common sole) is the source of this 476-nucleotide long non-coding RNA. RefSeq lists it as uncharacterized. The record is from RefSeq and is a predicted model, not a curated record. The transcript is spliced from 3 exons. Lineage: Eukaryota; Metazoa; Chordata; Actinopteri; Pleuronectiformes; Soleidae.
GAUAGCUGCAUCCUGGUUAGGAUGCCUCCUGGACGCCUCCCUGGUGAGGUGUUCCGGGCACGUCCCACUGGGAGGAGGAGGCCCCCCGGGGACGACCCAGCACUCGCUGGAGAGACUCUGUCUCUCGGUUGGUCUGGGAACGCCUGGGGAUUCCCCCUGAAGAGCUGGAUGAAGUGGCCGAGGAGAGGGAAGUCUGGGCUUCGACCCAACCUUGGAAAAGAAGCUCAGGAGGCGGGACUUCAGCCGGGCUGCGGGUGAGCCAAUUGGUUGUGGCACGAUGACUGACAGGCGGCACGGCGUGGCCGUGAUUGGCCGCUGAAACCUCCUGAUCCGUCUCCACCAGUCCUUGCCAGUCAGCUAUUUUUCUCACGCCAGAUAGAACCAGCACAAGGAGUGCACAAGAGUGGCGAUGGGGAUUUGGUACCUUGCUCAGGAGAACCUGGCAGGGACCUGAACUGGCAGCCCUUCGAUCACAA